GAUUAAGCCAUGCAUGUGUAAGUAUAAAUAUUCUACUUUGAAACUGCGAAUGGCUCAUUAUAUCAGUUAUAGUUUAUUUGAUGAAGAAUACUAAUUGGAUAACCGUAGUAAUUCUAGAGCUAAUACAUGUAUAAAGUCUUGUAGACUGCAUUUAUUAGAAUGAAAACCAUAGGUUUCGGCCUAUUCGUGAGUAAUAAUAACUAAUCAUAUCGUAUGCUUAUGUAACGAUGUGUCUUUCAAGUUUCUGCCCUAUCAGCUUUCGAUGGUAGUGUAUUGGACUACCAUG
RNAcentral lists this ribosomal RNA (286 nucleotides) under Blastocystis hominis. Its description in RNAcentral is "partial small subunit ribosomal RNA". It matches the Rfam family "Eukaryotic small subunit ribosomal RNA", at positions 42 to 348 of the family's 1831-position model. The record is from RNAcentral. Lineage: Eukaryota; Bigyra; Opalinata; Blastocystidae.